Podarcis lilfordi (Lilford's wall lizard) is the source of this 85-nucleotide non-coding RNA. The record is from the annotation of a GenBank genome assembly. NCBI's taxonomy places the organism in Eukaryota, Metazoa, Chordata, Lepidosauria, Squamata, Lacertidae.
GAAAAAAGAUUAAAGAAAUCCAAGGUAGAGCUUGGUACUGAUAAUGCCAAGGUCGCAGGUUCGAUUCCUGUAUGAGACAGCUACA